RNAcentral lists this ribosomal RNA (497 nucleotides) under uncultured bacterium. RNAcentral's name for it is "partial 16S ribosomal RNA". It matches the Rfam family "Bacterial small subunit ribosomal RNA", at positions 28 to 507 of the family's 1533-position model. The record is from RNAcentral.
GAUGAACGCUGGCGGCGUGCCUAAUACAUGCAAGUCGAGCGAACGGACGAGAAGCUUGCUUCUCUGAUGUUAUCGGCGGACGGGUGAGUAACACGUGGAUAACCUACCUAUAAGACUGGGAUAACUUCGGGAAACCGGAGCUAAUACCGGAUAAUAUUUUGAACCGCAUGGUUCAAAAGUGAAAGACGGUCUUGCUGUCACUUAUAGAUGGAUCCGCGCUGCAUUAGCUAGUUGGUAAGGUAACGGCUUACCAAGGCAACGAUGCAUAGCCGACCUGAGAGGGUGAUCGGCCACACUGGAACUGAGAAACGGUCCAGACUCCUACGGGAGGCAGCAGUAGGGAAUCUUCCGCGAUGGGCGAGAGCCUGACAGAGGAACGCCGCGUAAGUGAUGAAGGUCUUCGGAUCGUAAAACUCUGUUAUUAGGGAAGAAGAUAUGUGUAAGUAACUGUGCACAUCUUGACGGUACCUAAUCAGAAAGCCACGGCUAACUCCGUG